Ictalurus punctatus (channel catfish) is the source of this 5046-nucleotide long non-coding RNA. RefSeq lists it as uncharacterized. The record is from RefSeq and is a predicted model, not a curated record. The transcript is spliced from 3 exons. NCBI's taxonomy places the organism in Eukaryota, Metazoa, Chordata, Actinopteri, Siluriformes, Ictaluridae.
UAGACCCAAUUAAACAAAUGAGACCAAAAAAACCCAUAUAUUACUCUGUCAUUUAUUUAUUGAGGAAAAUUAUAUUUUAUCUCUGUGAGUGGCAAAAGUAUGUAAACCUUUGCUUUCAGUAUCUGUUGUGACCCUUUUGUGAAGCAAUAAUUGCAACUAAACGUUUCCAGUAACUGUUGAUCAGUCCUGCACAUCGGCUUGAAGGAAUUUUGGAAUUUUGGGAUGUUGGUGGGUUUCCUUACAUGAACUGCUUGCUUCAGGUCCUUCCACAACAUUUCUACUGGAUUAAAGUCAGGACUUUGACUUGAACAUUCCAAAACAUUAACUUUAUUCUUCUUUAACCGUUCAUUGGUAGAACGUUUUGUGUGCUUAGGGUCAUUGUGUUGCUGCAUGACGCACUUUCUCUUGGGAUUCAUUUUAUGAACAGAUAUCCUGACAAUUGUUUUAGAAUUUGCUGGUAUAAUUCAGAAUUCAUUGUCCCACCAAUGAUGGCAAGUCGUCCAGAUGCAGCAAAACAGUCCCAAACCAUGAUACUACCACCAGCAUGUUUCACAGAUUGGAUAAGGUUCUGAUGCGGAAAUGCAGUGUUUUCCUAUCUCCAAACAUAACGCUUCUCAUUUAAACCAAAAUUUUUUAUUUUGGUCUCAUCUAUCCACAAAACAUUUUUCCAACUUUAACAACUUUAGCAAACUGCAGAGGGGCAGCAAUGUUCUUUUUGGAGGGCAGUGGUCUUCUACUUGCAACCCUACCAUUGUGAGAGAGGCCUUUAGUUGCUUAGAAAUUACCAUGGAUUCCUUUGUGACCUUGCAGAUUAUUAGAUCGUCUUGCUCUUAGAGUGAUCUUUGUUGGUUGAUCACAACUGGGGAAGGAAACAGUGGUUUUGAAUUUCCUCAAUUUCUACACAAUCUGCCUGACUGUGGAUUGGUGGAGUCCAAACGCUUUAGAGAUGAUUUUGUAACCUUUUCCAGCCUGAUGAGUCCUCAGAAACCUCAUUUGUUCAUGCCAUGAUACACAUCCACAAACAUGUAUUGUGAAGAUCAGAUUUUGAUAGAUCCCUGUUCAUUAGAUAAAACAGGGCACUCACUCACACCUAAUUGUCCUCCCAUUGAUUGAAAACAUCUGCCUUCAAAUUAACUGCUAAUCCCAAAGGUUCACAUACUUUUGCCACCAUGCACUCACAAGGGUGCACGGUGGCUUAGUGGUUAGCACGUUUGCCUCACACCUCCAGGGUUGGGGGUUCAAUUCCCACUGUGGCCGUGUGUGUACAGGGUUUGCAUGUUCUCCCCGUGCUGGGGGGUUUUCUCUGGGUACUCUGGUUUUCCCUCCCAGUCCAAAGACAUGCAUGGUAGGCAGAUUGGCAUGUCCAAAGUGUCUGUAGUGGAUGGAAGGAGCCUCCCCUGAGCAACGUUCAGUAUCGUACUGCUGAGUGGCUAAUCCUUCCACCAUGAUGGUUCCACUAUGAAGAGGAACCUCGACACGAAAAGAAGAAAAAGCCACUCACAGAUAUGAAAUAGUGGAUCCUUUUCCUCAAUAAAUAAAUGACCAAGUAUAAUAUUUUUGUCUUGUUUGUUUAAUUGGGUUCUGGUUGUCUACUUUUAUGACUUCUGAAAAUCUGAUGAUGUCUUAGGUCAUAUUUAUGCAGUUAUAUAGACAAUUCUAAAGCAUUCACAAGCUUUCAAGCACCACUGUAUCUGUCUCCCUGUUGAUUCAGGUGGGAAAAUGCUGUUCAGAUCUAGACUAAUAAACACCUCAGUAAACAAGCCAGCCACAACCUGUUUCGUGUUUCACAGGCCACUGCAUAUGUGGCUUAGGAAAAUGUUAACAGGGAGAUGUCAUCUCCACGACUGAAUGGCACAGUUUCUAUCCUGAAGGCAUGAGUGAUGGGAAGCAGUGGGGUGACAGAUGACGAGGCAACAGCAGCCCUAUUCUUAGUAAGCAGUCAUUGUUUGUGCUCAAAUGUUAUGGACUACAUUAUUCUGUCAACUUGUGUGUGUGUGUGUGUGAGAGAGAGAAGCUUUAAUUAAUAGUGCCUGUAACCUGUUUGACAUAAGAUUGGAAAGCAGAGCACUUUUUGUUUGAACUGGGAUUUUUUUGGUCUUGUUGUGUUUUUUUCAUCUGCACACUCCUUCUUCUUGCUUUGAAACCUCAGGGGUGUUCCCGUCUGGCAGCAGACAAGACAGGAGACAUGCACUGUGGAAGCUUUUCAGUUGGAGGUUUCUAGAGAUUAAAUCAGAACACAAUUGUAAAAUGCAAGUGUAUUGGUGGGAAUGCUGCUUGGACUGGAUAAGGAUGAGAUCGUUAGGAGAGAUGAUAUCCCCGAUAUCAGAGAGAUGAUAUCCCCGGCCUGGCUUAGGUGUGGAGUGACGGCUACUGCGCAGCCAGUGGGGAGUAUGAAGCAAGCUCAAGGUGGAGCCCGAGGGGGGAGCAACAUUAACCAUGGAGGGGGGAGCGAUGCUCUCCUCGAGGUCAGAGGGAGAACCAAUGUCCUCCAUGGAGCAAGAAGGGGGAGUGUUAUGAGGCAUGAAGCAAAGAAAUGGAGUGACGUCUUCAGCGGAACAUGGAGGCAGAAUGACGUCAUCAGCAGAGCAGGAUGGCGGAGCAACGUCCUCAGCCGAGCAGGAAGGCAAAGUGACAUCCUCAGCCGAGCAGGAAGGCGGAGCAACAUCCUCAGCUGAGCAGGAAGGCAAAGUGACAUCCUCAUCUGAGCAGGAAGGCAGAGCAACGUCCUCAGCCGAGCAGGGAGACGGAGCAACAUCCUCAGUGGAAUAGCAAAGCGGAGCAACGUCUGAAGAGAAGCCUGGUGUAGUGAUAUCCGAGGCAGAGCAGGGAGGCAAAGUUGAACAGGAAGGCUGAUAAAAAAAUAUAAUUACCUUGCAUUACAUCAAUAAUACAUAAUUCACAGUUCACGCUUAGAAAUAAUAGUUUCAUAAAGACAUAAAAUCUUAAUAUAUUACAAAAUUAAGAGCAAUUGUGUUUAACUGGAUAAUAAGUGGUGUUUCUCUGGCAUUAUUGCACUGUAGUCCAGUCGUAGAAGUGUAGUAUUAGUGCUAAAAUAAUUUGUGUAGUCAUUGAGCAUGUUUACAGCUUGGGGUCACAAACUGUUUCUAUGCAUUGUCUCUCUGCUUUGUGGGUCACUCUGUGGCACACCAUUAGGCUGUUUUGCCUCUGUUAUGCCAGAGGGGAGGAGCCCUUGUUAUCUGUGCAUGACUCUUUGAGAGUGGCCGUUGUGGUGAUGUCUCCAUGUUGGAAGUACGCUAAUUGUCUUUGUGUCCUGGUUCCGUGCUCCAGUCCCUGGCAGGUUACAAUGGUGCCCAGUGUUGCUCUCCCAGAACAAUCGCUCUCUGUCUCUGCUGGACCAGCACAGUCACUGUCAGUUCAGACUGUACACACUCUGCAGCAAUCGCAGAUACCAAGCGAUAGACCAGAAAAAUCCAAAACCAUAUAGACAAAAACAUUCCUGCACUCAUUUGUACACAUACCCAUUACACUGAUAUUCAUUUAUGUGCAAACAAAUUGGUACUAUGAUGAAUAAACACCAAAUGAGACAGUGAAACAUUGUCAAGUUUGCAUGCAAUAAAUCAGUGAAUAAUUCACCACAAGAUAUCAAUGCUAUUGGUAGCCUCUAAGAGCACUAUAUUGAUGCCAAUUCAGAUCCAUGUCUAUUCCGAUCCAUAUCACCCACUGAUAAUCUAAAACCCAUAGUUUCUAAACAGAGCCUGCUGAUGUAAGCAAAGAGGCUUGAAUGUGGAUAUCAAAUAAAUUGAUUAGAAACACUGCAGCCCAGUUUGAGGGUAUGGCUUGAUAAAAGGAAGCUAAAGCAAAGUCCUGUCUAAGGAAGGAAAACUACAUAAAUACAUCUUAGUUGUGUAAAUUACAGAACUUUAAAAUCUUUAAAGACUGAUAUUUAUAUUUGCACAGAUGACUAAAAAAAGAGUUGGAUCUGACCUGCAGUCAAAGAGCUGAGAUGCUGUGGAUUCUGACACAGGGGAUCCCUCAAACUUUGUUUCCUCAGAAAUGCCCUUGAGCCCUUCUCAUUUAAACUUCAGCCCCUGUUAUGUGCCUUUUCAAUUAAGCCUGUCUUAAGAUAUACCUGUCUUUCCCUUUUCUCUUAUUUCUUGCUUUCUCUUUUUAUCCCUUUUCCUAACCAGUGUUGGGUAAGUUACUCAAAAAAAAGUAAUCCACUACAGACGACUAAUUACUACUUUAAAAUUGUAAUCUGAUUACAUUACUGAUUAUUGCAUGUAAAAAAGUAAUCACAUUACUAAUUACUUUCAAGUUACUUUCAAAACCUUUCAAACCUACAAAAAUAACACUACAAACACUACAAAGUGAAACUCAGUUCUUUCAGUGAUUUUAGCGUGCGUCAAUGAUCGGAAAAAGUUGGAUUUAUCAUAAAACUUGCCUCGGGUGUUGUCACUGUUUGUAGGACUACCAGACUGAUAAAAUAGAAAACUUUUCUAACUAGACUAGUCUCGUGUCACUAACCAAGCAGAGGCACAGCUAAGCUAUUGUUGUAUGGGUUUAGCUGCUACAGUGCCAUGCAAAGUACAUUAUCUUUCCAUAUGCUAUGCUCAUAUCAUGUUUACGAAAACUGGAACUCAUAUAGACAUUUACACACCUUGUUUUCCUGCUCAGCAUGAGAGGAUGUUAGUGUUUCAGUUUCAACCCAUUUACUGCUUUAAAAAAAAUUGGCGUAUAUCCAUUUUUCCUCACACUGACUGUGAGCUAGUGUUUGGCAGAAUUGAGAGACUAUCAGCCAAUAAGACAUGAGUGUUUCCACGUAUUUUCCUAUAAACUCUGUCUGAUUGGUCUCACCUACGUUCACUGAAGAUAUAAAAUUACAGACGGUCUUCUUUUACUGAUGUUUAGGUAUGUAGUGAUAAACUGCUCCAAGUGGUUUGAUUAUUCGGGGAUAAAGAAAAAAUGUUCGGGGCUGCAGUCCUGAAUGACCAGGCUAGAUUACGCUUCUGGAAGCCGCACAAAAUGUGAUUUAUUUUUAAAAUACAUUUUACUUAAUAUUGUUUUCUUAACAAUAAAUUUCUAACG